Molecule: long non-coding RNA, 301 nt
Organism: Corvus hawaiiensis (hawaiian crow)
Lineage: Eukaryota; Metazoa; Chordata; Aves; Passeriformes; Corvidae
Exons: 3
Source: RefSeq, a predicted model, not a curated record
GGUACCAGUUUUUUAGGAAGAACAACAGAUGGAUAUUGUUCUGAUGUCAAUUAUCUGGAACAGUUCUGUGGAACUCAGUUUAGAUUUUGAAGGAAUGCUCUGAGAUUUGACUGUCUUGCAUCUUAAACUCCGCCACAGAAGAGAUUUUUACCAUAAACUUAAAUUUUCAACUUUCUGAGAAGAUUCUCAAAUAUUCUGAUACAGCAUCAGAGGAAAAAAUAAUUGGAACAGUAGCAACACUGAGUAGAAACAAAAUAGCUCAGAACACAGGGGAUAAAAAUGGAUCAUCUGAGAGCACCAG